Molecule: long non-coding RNA, 842 nt
Filed under: Cicer arietinum (chickpea)
Lineage: Eukaryota; Viridiplantae; Streptophyta; Magnoliopsida; Fabales; Fabaceae
Description: long non-coding RNA (CARI_LNC001360)
Source: RNAcentral
AGUUUUUAAAACCAAAUCAAAUUACAAACUAAGAAUAAAGCCAAAAAUAAAUUACAAUAAAAAUUAAAUCAGAUCAAGCCAUGCUAUGUUGAUUUUGUUCAUUGUCAAACCCUGCUAUGUUGAUGAUGACUGCCAUUGAUGCACAAGCCAUGCUUAUUGAUACAUCUGUUCCUGUUUUAACUAAAUAGAUAAAUAAAAAGAUAACUUUUUUAAAUCAGCCAUUGUACACAUUAUAGUUAACAAAGAGACAAAUUUUUUAGUUUAAAAAAAAAGAAACUAAAAGACAAAUAAAAGCUCAGCAAAUCAACAGAUCAAAACAAAUAAGCUAAAACUAUGAAGGCAUCAGAGAUGCAGAAAAAUGCAGAUGAUGAGCAAAGAAAACGAAACAUCAAACAAAGAACUAGAAAGCUCAAACUCAAACAGAGACACAGCCAAGAAAGCAACUAAUCAGAUAAAAAAACUCUAUAAAUACAUCUUUUUUUUUACAAAGAACGAAGACAUUUAGAGGGGGAGAAAUCGGAGAUUAAUACUGAUAAAAAAGACAUAAAAAGAAAGAGAAGAAGAAGAAACAGAAAGCAUUACCGCCGUUUCAACUUCCACCGCGAACCACCGUCUCUGUCUUCAUCGGUAUCUGAAAAGGCAUGUAUCUUCUUAUUAUCUUCAUGUUUGCUGCUUAUAUUGGAAGUUAAAAUUUAGAACUAGAAAGAUGGAGUUUUGUUUUAGUUGUGUGAAUGUUUGUUUUUUGGAUGAAAUCAUUUUUUUUGUUAUGUUAACAAAGCUUUGAAAUGGGAUUUUUUCUUGCUCAGCUACGGUUCCCUUUCAUGUAAUCUUUUCAAAUAUCU